RNAcentral lists this transfer RNA (73 nucleotides) under Ovis aries (sheep). It matches the Rfam family "tRNA". From Rfam's summary of the family: Transfer RNA (tRNA) molecules are approximately 80 nucleotides in length. Their secondary structure includes four short double-helical elements and three loops (D, anti-codon, and T loops). Further hydrogen bonds mediate the characteristic L-shaped molecular structure. tRNAs have two regions of fundamental functional importance: the anti-codon, which is responsible for specific mRNA codon recognition, and the 3' end, to which the tRNAs corresponding amino acid is attached (by aminoacyl-tRNA synthetases). tRNAs cope with the degeneracy of the genetic code in two manners: having more than one tRNA (with a specific anti-codon) for a particular amino acid; and 'wobble' base-pairing, i.e. permitting non-standard base-pairing at the 3rd anti-codon position. The record is from Rfam by way of RNAcentral. Lineage: Eukaryota; Metazoa; Chordata; Mammalia; Artiodactyla; Bovidae.
UCCCUGGCGGUCCAGUGGUUAGGACUCUGAACUUCCACUGCAGAAGACAGGGGUUUGAUUCCUGGUCAGGGAA